Acanthochromis polyacanthus (spiny chromis) is the source of this 3756-nucleotide long non-coding RNA. RefSeq lists it as uncharacterized. NCBI's taxonomy places the organism in Eukaryota, Metazoa, Chordata, Actinopteri, Pomacentridae. The transcript is spliced from 2 exons. The record is from RefSeq and is a predicted model, not a curated record.
AGGAGUCAUAGUUCCACUAAUCAGGAGGUCUAGAAGGAGUCAUAGUAGCACUAAUCAGGAGGUCUAGAAGGAGUCAUAGUACCACUAAUCAGGAGGUCUAGAAGGAGUCAUAGUAUCACUAAUCAGGAGGUCUAGAAGGAGUCAUAGUUUCACUAAUCAGGAGGUCUAGAAGGAGUCAUAGUUCCACUAAUCAGGAGGUCUAGAAGGAGUCAUAGUAGCACUAAUCAGGAGGUCUAGAAGGAGUCAUAGGAGCACUAAUCAGGAGGUCUAGAAGGAGUCAUAGUACCACUAAUCAGGAGGUCUUGAAGGAGUCAUAGUAUCACUAAUCAGGAGGUCUAGAAGGAGUCAUAGUUCCACUAAUCAGGAGGUCUAGAAGGAGUCAUAGUAGCACUAAUCAGGAGGUCUAGAAGGAGUCAUAGGAGCACUAAUCAGGAGGUCUAGAAGGAGUCAUGGUUCCACUAAUCAGGAGGUCUAGAAGGAGUCAUAGUUCCACUAAUCAGGAGGUCUAGAAGGAGUCAUAGUAGCACUAAUCAGGAGGUCUAGAAGGAGUCAUAGUACCACUAAUCAGGAGGUCUAGAAGGAGUCAUAGUUCCACUAAUCAGGAGGUCUAGAAGGAGUCAUAGUAUCACUAAUCAGGAGGUCUAGAAGGAGUCAGUACCACUAAUCAGGAGGUCUAGAAGGAGUCAUGGUUCCACUAAUCAGGAGGUCUAGAAGGAGUCAUAGUACCACUAAUCAGGAGGUCUAGAAGGAGUCAUAGUAUCACUAAUCAGGAGGUCUAGAAGGAGUCAGUACCACUAAUCAGGAGGUCUAGAAGGAGUCAUAGUUUCACUAAUCAGGAGGUCUAGAAGGAGUCAUAGUUCCACUAAUCAGGAGGUCUAGAAGGAGUCAUAGUUUCACUAAUCAGGAGGUCUAGAAGGAGUCAUAGUACCACUAAUCAGGAGGUCUAGAAGGAGUCAUAGUUUCACUAAUCAGGAGGUCUAGAAGGAGUCAUAGUAGCACUAAUCAGGAGGUCUAGAAGGAGUCAUAGUACCACUAAUCAGGAGGUCUAGAAGGAGUCAUAGUAUCACUAAUCAGGAGGUCUAGAAGGAGUCAUAGUUUCACUAAUCAGGAGGUCUAGAAGGAGUCAUAGUUCCACUAAUCAGGAGGUCUAGAAGGAGUCAUAGUUUCACUAAUCAGGAGGUCUAGAAGGAGUCAUAGUACCACUAAUCAGGAGGUCUAGAAGGAGUCAUAGUUUCACUAAUCAGGAGGUCUAGAAGGAGUCAUAGUAGCACUAAUCAGGAGGUCUAGAAGGAGUCAUAGUACCACUAAUCAGGAGGUCUAGAAGGAGUCAUAGUUUCACUAAUCAGGAGGUCUAGAAGGAGUCAUAGUUCCACUAAUCAGGAGGUCUAGAAGGAGUCAUAGUAGCACUAAUCAGGAGGUCUAGAAGGAGUCAUAGGAGCACUAAUCAGGAGGUCUAGAAGGAGUCAUAGUACCACUAAUCAGGAGGUCUAGAAGGAGUCAUAGUUUCACUAAUCAGGAGGUCUAGAAGGAGUCAUAGUACCACUAAUCAGGAGGUCUAGAAGGAGUCAUAGUAUCACUAAUCAGGAGGUCUAGAAGGAGUCAGUACCACUAAUCAGGAGGUCUAGAAGGAGUCAUAGUUUCACUAAUCAGGAGGUCUAGAAGGAGUCAUAGUUCCACUAAUCAGGAGGUCUAGAAGGAGUCAUAGUAGCACUAAUCAGGAGGUCUAGAAGGAGUCAUAGGAGCACUAAUCAGGAGGUCUAGAAGGAGUCAUAGUACCACUAAUCAGGAGGUCUAGAAGGAGUCAUAGUAUCACUAAUCAGGAGGUCUAGAAGGAGUCAUAGUUCCACUAAUCAGGAGGUCUAGAAGGAGUCAUAGGAGCACUAAUCAGGAGGUCUAGAAGGAGUCAUAGUUCCAAUAAUCAGGAGAUCUAGAAGGAGUCAUAGUUCCACUAAUCAGGAGGUCUAGAAGGAGUCAUAGUUCCAAUAAUCAGGAGGUGUAGAAGGAGUCAUAGUAGCACUAAUCAGGAGGUCUAGAAGGAGUCAUGGUUCCACUAAUCAGGAGGUCUAGAAGGAGUCAUAGGAGCACUAAUCAGGAGGUCUAGAAGGAGUCAUGGUUCCACUAAUCAGGAGGUCUAGAAGGAGUCAUAGUUCCACUAAUCAGGAGGUCUAGAAGGAGUCAUAGUAGCACUAAUCAGGAGGUCUAGAAGGAGUCAUAGUUCCACUAAUCAGGAGGUCUAGAAGGAGUCAUAGUAUCACUAAUCAGGAGGUCUAGAAGGAGUCAUAGUACCACUAAUCAGGAGGUCUGGAAGGAGUCAUAGUUCCACUAAUCAGAGCUCCUAAAAUGACUCCACACACAGUGAACUACUUUCUCCAUCCAGCUGUAAAAACAGACAUCAGCUGCUUCAGACUUGGUUCAGGGGUUCUCCAUGGAAACCAGAGUUAGAGUGAAGCUCAGACAGUGUGAUCCUCUCCUACAUGUAUGAUCCUUCUCUACAUAGAUGAUCUUGUCCCCACCACUACAUGGUUAUAGAUGAGCUUCAUCUUCUGAGUUUUGAACAUGUGAAGUUAUUUUCUAAUCUGUGUCUUGUUCUGAAAGUUCUAAAUGUUUUGUCCCCUGGGUUAGCCCUGGGUUGGUCCUGGGUUAAUCAAACACCUGUUCCACCUUCAGGCCAUCAGUUUUUCUGUAGAAGCUCUGACUUAGUGGAACCUGAUGACAUGAAGAACAGUUUUUAGAACAGCCUGGAGAACCUGCUGCAGAAACCACUGAAGUGUUUUAACUCUGUGUGUGUGUGUGUGUGUGUGUGUGUGUGUGUGUGUGUGUGUGUGUGUGUGUGUGUGAUGUUGUAUUUUAUAGUGCAGCUCUUUUCAUAUUCUAUGUGUUCAUUGGGACCUGCUGAUGGAUGGAGAUGAUCAAAGCUGACGCUGUUGUUUCAGAUUCUACAUGGUUCCUUUGAAAAAAAAACAUUAAUAGUAAUAAUAAAUACAAUAAUAAUAAUAAUAAUAACAAAACAAUAACAAUUCUAAUAAAACAACAACAAUAAUAGAAACAAUAAUGAUGAUAAUAAUAAUAAUACAGCAGGAGAACAUCUCGAGAACAUCACACCAGAGCUUCUCCACUAGAACCAGACAGAACAAGAAACUGAAACUAGCAGAACCUUUGUGAUGUUCUCCAGAUGUUCAGAAGAACAGCAGAACCUCCUCAGCUGAAUAAAGGAGGAACUGGAGAACCUCAUUGUGGAAUCUGAAUCUAACCUGUACAUAGUAAUCUGAUUACUGCUGGUGUUUACCGUAAAUAUCAAUGACGUAUAUAUAGAGCUAGACCGCUCACUGGUUGGUGGACAACAGCGGCGCCGUGGCAAAUCGGCGCUGACUUCCGGUAGUGGCAAGAAGCUAUGGAGUGCUGUUUGAUCCUGUGUGAAUACACCAACUUGAAGGCCUGCUUGUCAUCACUGAUGGGACAAUAUGUGUUAUGUUACAGCUUUUACUGUUAGCAGACAAUAAAAUCUCUGUCCUUGGCACGUUUUCACGGCAAUCACAGCGUUGUUUAGCCCUCACAGACAAGAAAAAACAAAGCACAAGGCAUGUUUCUACGGCAAUCACACUCGUAUAAUAGCAAACACAGAGCCUCCAUUCCACUAUCCUUCAUAUUUAGCCUCUUCACACGUUCUGCCUACAACAGAGACCACCACACAAUGAUAAUGAGUGCUGAAUGCUGAUGCAGUGAUUGUCAAUAAAAAAAAAUUUCAUACUUUCUGCA